CUAAACCUAAACGACUCUCAAUUUCCUCUCUCACUCAAGAUCUUCUGUGAUUGCCAAAAUAUCCAUUUUUGUCCAGGUUUGUUGGUCUAAAAAGUUCAUACAAUUUACUCUGGUUGCCAUGCUGAAGUCCUAAAUCUAUGUACAUUUUAUUGAAAUUAUAAGGAAUCUACUUAAACUUAGGAGAAUUGUUGAAGAUCAAUAUCUACUUUUUGGUAUGUUUCUUUUUAUUUUAUUUUUUUCUG
RNAcentral lists this long non-coding RNA (242 nucleotides) under Olea europaea (common olive). Its description in RNAcentral is "long non-coding RNA (OEUR_LNC005424)". The record is from RNAcentral. Lineage: Eukaryota; Viridiplantae; Streptophyta; Magnoliopsida; Lamiales; Oleaceae.